AACAGGCUGAUUUAGACCCUAAUCGGAAUGGUGAUUUCAGGACCACAAAUUCGAGUAAGAAAAAUAUUUAAAAAUUAUUUUUUAUGUUUAUUAUGUGUGAAUUAAUAUCUGUGAAAUUUUCGUGAUUUAAUUUUAUUGUUUGAGUGUCCGAUUAAAUAAAAGGACUUAAUCGCGUAAAAGGAAAAGUUGGUGGUUAAAUGUGAAAGUACUUAAUCGUUGUUGUCUUUAUAAGUGGAGGCAUUUAUAAUGAAUUAGACCAAAGUUAUGAGUAGUGGACGGUAAUGGCCUUAGAUUCUUGUAACACCC
RNAcentral lists this long non-coding RNA (306 nucleotides) under Gossypium barbadense (sea-island cotton). Its description in RNAcentral is "long non-coding RNA (GBAR_LNC003219)". Lineage: Eukaryota; Viridiplantae; Streptophyta; Magnoliopsida; Malvales; Malvaceae. The record is from RNAcentral.